Molecule: ribosomal RNA, 422 nt
Filed under: uncultured cyanobacterium
Lineage: Bacteria; Bacillati; Cyanobacteriota
Description: bacterial SSU rRNA
Rfam family: Bacterial small subunit ribosomal RNA
Source: RNAcentral
GGAAUUUUCCGCAAUGGGCGAAAGCCUGACGGAGCAAUACCGCGUGAGGGAGGAAGGCUCUUGGGUUGUAAACCUCUUUUCUCAGGGAAUAAGAACUGAAGGUACCUGAGGAAUCAGCAUCGGCUAACUCCGUGCCAGCAGCCGCGGUAAUACGGAGGAUGCAAGCGUUAUCCGGAAUGAUUGGGCGUAAAGCGUCCGCAGGUGGUUUAUCAAGUCUGCUGUCAAAGAGUUUGGCUCAACCAAAUGAAGGCAGUGGAAACUGACAGACUGGAGUGCGGUAAGGGCAGAGGGAAUUCCUGGUGUAGCGGUGAAAUGCGUAGAGAUCAGGAAGAACACCGGUGGCGAAAGCGCUCUGCUGGGCCGUAACUGACACUGAGGGACGAAAGCUAGGGGAGCGAAUGGGAUUAGAUACCCCAGUAGUC